ACUAGCCCCGAAAAUGGAUGG
This 21-nucleotide non-coding RNA is filed under the name Arabidopsis thaliana (thale cress). Lineage: Eukaryota; Viridiplantae; Streptophyta; Magnoliopsida; Brassicales; Brassicaceae. The record is from RNAcentral.